GACGUGGUUGGGGUCCGGCAGCCCGUCGGCGGUGUUGGCGCCGUCGUCCGGUUCGGCCUGGACCGCGUCGCC
This 72-nucleotide transfer RNA is filed under the name Actinocatenispora sera. RNAcentral's name for it is "tRNA-Asn". Lineage: Bacteria; Bacillati; Actinomycetota; Actinomycetes; Micromonosporales; Micromonosporaceae. The record is from RNAcentral.